This is a long non-coding RNA of Lytechinus pictus (painted urchin), 296 nucleotides long. RefSeq lists it as uncharacterized. The record is from RefSeq and is a predicted model, not a curated record. The transcript is spliced from 3 exons. NCBI's taxonomy places the organism in Eukaryota, Metazoa, Echinodermata, Echinoidea, Temnopleuroida, Toxopneustidae.
AACAGAGCUCAUGUGUGAUAACGGGACCCUUUCUGCACCUGUUCCUGUCUGUUAUGGAAACUGUGACGUAGAUGCAAUUCCUUUCUCAAAUCAAACAACGGCUGAUUCUUUGGACCAUGAUGCAAGUAUCGUUAUAGCCUGUAACAGUGGGUACUCUACCGGUAUGGGUAUUCUAACAGAGCUCAUGUGUGAUAACGGGACCCUUUCUGCACCUGUUCCUGUCUGUUAUGGAAACUGUGACGUAGAUGCAAUUCCUUUCUCAAAUCAAACAACGGCUGAUUCUUUGGACCAUGAUG